Molecule: ribosomal RNA, 253 nt
Filed under: uncultured bacterium
Lineage: Bacteria
Description: partial 16S ribosomal RNA
Rfam family: Bacterial small subunit ribosomal RNA
Source: RNAcentral
UACCUGGGGUGCAACCGUUGCUCGGAAUUAUUGGGCGUAAAGCGCACGUAGGUGGUCCCUUAAGUCGAAUGUGAAAUCCCUCGGCUCAACCGAGGACGUGCAUCCGAAACUGAGGGGCUAGAGUAUGGUAGAGGGUCGCGGAAUUCCCGGUGUAGAGGUGAAAUUCGUAGAUAUCGGGAGGAACACCGGUGGCGAAGGCGGCGACCUGGGCCAAUACUGACACUGAGGUGCGAAAGCGUGGGGAGCAAACAGG